AGGCUAUAAGAUGUAAAGGUGAAAGAGCUCCACCCAAGUGGUGGUCUCCUAGAACAUUUCCACUUUAAGAGGUAAAAAAAUUGCUCCUAGCAAUGCAUCAUCUGUGCUCAGCACACAAUUAUAAUUGCCAUGAGCACAUCUCAGUACUGCGAGCACCUCCCAGCCAUGCUGAAAUAGGCAUGACAUACUCAUACAAGUGGAGGCCUCAGUAGGCAGAACUGCAUCCCAUGCAGUCAGCCUUCCCUCAGCCAGGCUCCCCUUCCAUGUAUGUCAUAAAGAGCCCCUGUUUCUCACCAGCAACCUUCAGUGCAGCCUGCAUUCAGGCCACGUAUCUCAUCAGCUGGUGUCUCCCAGUGGAGGGCCGCCAUUUUGCAGCCCUGCCAGGCUGACAUAAAGCAAGCAGCUGUUGGAGGAACACCAAGUGCUUUGACAACUUCUUCUUCCAAGCCAACUUCCCUGCCAUGGGGACCUCACCCAAAGAAGGGCUUUUGGUGCAGUGCACAAAUGGAGGUUAAACGAUGGAGAAUUGGCUUUCAUGCUCCAGAGCACCUGCUGGUUCUCAGGGGGCAAGCAAGGAAUUCUGAAACUAGAGAAGGGGAGCAGGCAACAACUGGCCACCUUAUUUCCAUUCCUAUUGUUGUAAAACCUUGUCUCCAUAUGCGGGGCUUUUACAACAGCGUGCAUUUCCCUGGUGUUGUAUGCACAUCCCUCCACGCCUGA
This 720-nucleotide long non-coding RNA is filed under the name Phasianus colchicus (ring-necked pheasant). RNAcentral describes it as "lncRNA (ENSPCLG00000007312.1)". Lineage: Eukaryota; Metazoa; Chordata; Aves; Galliformes; Phasianidae. The record is from RNAcentral.